GGCCGCUCCCACGGCAUAUGGAGGUUCCCAGGCUAGAGGUCGAAUCGGAGCUGUAGCCACCGGCCUAUGCCAGAGCCACAGCAACGCGGGAUCCGAGCCGCAUCUGCAACCUACACCACAGCUCACGGCAACGCCGGAUCAUUAACCCACUGAGCAAGGGCAAGGACCGAACCUGCAACCUCAUGGUUCCUAGUCGGAUUCGUUAACCACUGCGCCACGACGGGAACUCCUCUCUUAAUUAAUUUGUAAACUCAGGGCAACACCAAUAAAAAUUCUAGUUGGAUAUUUUGAUGAAUUCAGUAAUCUAUACAUAUAAACAAUUUAAACUGAUAUAAAGCUUCAAAAUAUAGGGAAGAAACAAGGGUCCACAAAAAAGUAAGCAAGCUCUAAAAAAGAGCAAAGAAUGGGAGGGAUAUGCCCACUGGAUAUUAGGACAAUUUCAAAACCUUAAUAAUAAAGGCAAUGUAGAAUGGACUUAUGGAAAAAUGGUUAGACCAAUAGAACAGAGAGGAAAGCUCUUUUUGUGUGUGUGUGUGUGUGUGUGUGUGUGUGUUUUUUUGGGCCGCUCCUGUUGCAUAUGGAGGUUCCCAGGCUAGGGAUUGAAUCGGAGCUGUAGCCACCGGCCUACACCAGAGCCACAGCAACGCAGGAUCCGAGCUGCCUCUGCAACCUACACCACAGUCACGGCAACACUGGAUCCUUAACUCACUGAGCAAGGCCAGGGAUUGAACCCGCAACCUCAUGGUUCCUAGUCGGAUUCGUUAACCACUGCGCCACAACAGGAACUCCUAUAUUUAUAUUAUAAUUCUCAGAGGCUUUUGACAUCUCAAGAACAGUGUCGGUUUCAUACAGAUGGCCAACAGGUACAUGAAAAGAUGCUCAACAUUGCUAAUUAUUAGAGAAAUGCAAAUCAAAACUACAAUGAGGUAACACUUCACGUCAAUCAGAAUGGCCAUCAUUAAAAAGUCUACAAAUAACAAAUGCUCGUGAGGGUGUGGAGAAAAGGGAACCCUUCUACACUGUUGGUGGGAAGGUGCGCAGGUGAGAGAAAACACCAUGGAGGUUCCUCAAAAAACUAACAACUGUCAUAGGAUCUAGCAGUGCCACUCCUGGGCAUAUAUCCAGACAAAACCAUAAUUCAAAAAGAUAUGUUCAUCCCUAUAUUCAUAGAAGCACUAUUUACAAUAGCCAAGACAUGGAAACAACUUAAAUGUCAACUGACAGAUGAAUGGAUAGAGAAAAUGUGGUACAAAUAUAUAAUGGAAUAUUAGCCAGAAAAAAGAAUGAAAUAAUGCCUUUGCAGCAACAUGAAUGGAUCUAGAGAUUCUCAUAUUAAGUGAAGUCAGUCAGAAAGAGAAAGACAAAUACCAUGUGACAUCACUUAUAUGUGGAAUCUAAAAUAUGACACAGAUGAACCUAUCUACAAAGCAGAAACAGACUCACAGACAUAGAGGACAGACUUGUGGUUGCCAAAGGGAAGGGGGCUGGGGAGGGAGGGAUUAGGCGUUUGGUAUUAGCAGGUGCAAACUAUUAUACACAGGAUGGCUAAAAAACAAUCUCCUACUGUAUAACACAGGGAACUAUAGAAAAAGAAUAUUUAAAGGAAUGUUUAUAUAUUCAGAUAUAUAUAUAAAUAUAUAUAUCUGAAUCACUGCUAUGCAGCAGAAAUUAACACAACAUUGUAAAUCAACUACACUUCAAUAAAAAUCUAAAAAUUUUUGAAAAAGGACAGUAACAUUUUGUUAGGGACAGUCUUCAUAGCAUAUACAGUAGAGAUCUUGGCACAUGUUCUAUAUUAUUCAAUCUGACUCCCACUGUCAAAUCAACAAACACUUCUAACUGGACCAAGUGAUUCAGCGAUCUAUAAGCCUUAGCCACAGUUUAUAUAAGCUUUCUGAGAAGCAGUUCCUAGAACAAGACUUCAAAUUGAAAUUCCCUUUACCCUGGAGACUUUAAACCCUAGUACCUAAGAGGAGCCAGGCAUAUUCCACAAAUGCAGAGAAAGGGGCCACAUGUAGGAGCAUAUUUGUCACCGCGCACGUCCACUUCAUCUAAAGAGGGCCACCAAUGCCUAGCUCUAGCCAAGUGUUGGUCUAUGUUGCCAGAUCUUUCAGUGUCUCAAAAGAAGUAGAAAAAUCUGGAUAUUUAUGUGAAAUUGGCUGGUUCUUAAAUGGUCAUUCAAUUUUUAAACAACAGUCACAUAACAGAAAACAGUAAAUUCAGCCUGUGAACAUCCAAUUAAUGGCCUCCAUUUUUUCUCAAAAAAUCAGAAUUGUUAUUUUUUCCUAUGACACUAUUUCAUUAAAAGAUGAAAAUCAAAUUAAAGUCAAAUUCACCUAGUGUUUUGUCCUAAGACUUUCAUGCCAUGUUAGCCCAUAUCCUCUAAGAAACAGAGCCUGAGGCAAGGAUUAAGAGGCUUUCACUUCUUGGGGAGGGAUACUAUCCUGGGCUUUAAGGGUAAGGGAAAAGGAAGGAAUGGAGGAAGGUAGGGAAGCGUUAGAGUGUAGCCUCUGUUUCAACACAAGCCACAAAGAGACACAACAGGUCAUCAGACAGGUGGUUCCCUCCAUCCAUGGAGAUGCAGAUGGGCUACAAGGAGAAACUGACCCUCAGAGAGCAAUGUGUGGGAGAAGGAAGGAGGGAGUUUAAUCUGAAAAUUCCAGGUCAGAAAAAAAGGAGAGGCAAGUAAAACACCAGGGGUGAAGGUGCAACCCUGAGAGCAUGUGCCUCCUUACUUUAGGCCUUCAAUACCUCACCCCAGUCCUGGCCCUGGCCAGCUCACACCUGUCUCCUGUUUCCCAUUAAGUCAAUGUUCACCCCAGCAGGUGGCCCUCCCCAACACUUGAAAAUGCUAGAUCCCAAAACUACCCUGGUGCUUCUGUUUGCUCAAGUCCAGAAAUUCCAGGCACAUGGCUGGUUGGCUAGCUGCUCGGCAGAGGGAAAGGGGAGGCCCCAGCACUCUCAGGUCAGGUGACUGGUUGACCGAAGUGGUGGCUGUAAUAUAACCCAGGAGGUGCCUUCAGAAAAAAAGGAGGCAACUGGGAGAAUCUAAGUGGUACAUAUAGAUAUAAGAUACAUGAAUAUAGUCAAUGAAUAGCUCUAUCAAGAACCAUUAAGUUAGUCACCAGAAGUGAGAGAAGGGACAUCACUACAGACCAUCAGAUAACAAAAGGAUAAUAAGGAAAUGUUAGAACAAUGUUAUGCCAAUAAAUACAACUUAGAUGAAAUAGACAAAUUCCCCGAAAAAAAAUGACUGAGUUGACAUGGCCCAAGCCUAUAAAACAAAUCUGAAACUUCAAUUACAAACUGAGGGAAACUGCUGUCAUUUAUACAUCUACAUACAUUUUCCCACUCUCUCAAAAGCAUUUGAUUCAGAAUAUUCAUAAAUUAAGCAAGCCUCAUAACUCUAAAAUCAAAUAGCAAAGAUCUUUAAGCCAGGGUCUUAGUAGAAAGGCAUAUAUAGAAGCCUACCUUCUAUGCUUAAUAUGAACACAAAAAGAGGGUUGAUAAAACCUGUUGAGGGAGCUGAGUGGGUGGAACAAAUCUGGAGAAUCUGAGAAAACUAGAACUGGACUCCUGUGGCUCCAGAAAGCUUAAUCCAGAAAAAUACUGCAACAACAGCUGGUUACCAGGUCUUUUACAUCAGAGAUGGCCAACUCGGAUGCCGAAGGGGUCAGACGCCAGCUGGGAUGACAGGCAGUGGGAUGGUAAGAUGCUGACACACUCCUUUCAGCCUCAUGGCUCCAUCUGGUUUUGCAGUUAACUACGAGUGUGGUCAGGGACUCCAGAUUUUCCGGAUUGUUAUUUGAAAUCCCCCAGUGUUUAAAUGUUGGCUCAAAUUGGGAAAAAAAAAAAUAUAUAUAUAUUGUGUGGGCCAAAGAAACACAUCAGCAGAGCAGACACAGCUGCACUCUACCGCUCUGUGGUCUUUACUUCGUGUUUUGCUUUUAGGGGGUAGAGUGUGUAGCAAGAGGACUGGGGGAGUGUGUUUGCUUAUUUGUUUGUUCGGACUUUUUCUUAUUUAAAAAAAGCUAAAAAAAAUCAAGCUCUGGAAAUUUUUUUUUUUCUGUUUCAUGACCCCUGGGGCAUAGGGGUUUCAAAGCAAAGGGAAACAGUCACCAUCACACAUCCCUUUCUCCAUCCUGCCACCCCCCCCCGCCCCCCAACUCCAGCAGAUAGGAAGCUAAAUUCUAAGAUUUGAAGAGGCGGGGUUUCUUCUCUCUCCUUCAGGCUGCCACCAACUCACAGUCCUGUCUUUAGUUUUUGAAACACAAUGGUAGUUUGUUUACUGCUGUUUCCAUAUGGCUGAGCAACACGGGGUGGGGUGGGGGAGUGGCAAACCCUGAGAUUUCAUUUUACUGUGAUAACAAGUUAUCCUGUGUCAGGAAAGGAGAUGAAAAGCAAAUGUCCCUGAGAUUUCUGAAAAGAAAGCAGACUACUCUGGGCCUCGGAUCCAGGCACUGGUAGACAGAGCUCGCAUCAUCCCCCGAGUUUAGCUGUCACGGCCACCUGUUCAAGCUCCUGUGAGCCAACCUAAGGUAGCCGGCGUUAGCUCUAGGAGACUCUUCAAAGGGACAGAGACAGCUCUGUGGAGAAUGCCUGGUACUAAUGAGCCAUCUCCCACCAGCACCUGGCCUCCUGGUGGGAAGAGAACUUUCCAGCAUCAUCAUGCGGCACAACGGCUGCAAGGCAAGCAUGAGAUGAAAGGGCUCAGGAGGGCAGGGCGGGAGUCUCAGCAUCCCCCACCCUGUCAGAGAGGAGGCUGAAUACUCAGAAACUCAAGGGGCUAAGAGCACUGGGGGGAGCCCAUCAGAAUGCAAAGGGAUGCUGAAGAAAUGCCACUCUCCCAAUGCACUUUGAUGAUGAGCUCAGCUGAGCUUCCCAUGGAUCUACCCACCCCCCACUCCCCACACAGUAGCCCUGAGCAGUUCAGGCCCCAACUGUCCUUUGUAAAUCUCCAUCAAGACCACUCAAGCCACAAUUUUCAGCAAUAAUAAUCAGUAAGCUUGCAGCAAAAGUGUUUCUUUUCACACCAGCUCAAGCAGAAAGCAGAGGGUUUCCAAGAUGUCCUGCUGCUCCUUGUCCUCCUGGGAUGACUUCAAUUCUCUCAGAUCCACAUAGGAAAGGCUGAACCUGCCUGGGACUUUAACAAAUUACACUCAGACUGCACCUGGAGGAAACAGGGAGGGCAAGGUUUCACAGGGAACCAAGGGAGUCCUUCAGGGGAAUUUAGGAUUGUCUAAAGACUCGAGGUGUUGAGGAAGAGCCCCCCCCACACACACAACCCCUGCCCAGUCACCUGGAGGCCAACUAUCCCCCUAAAUGAGGGAGUCUGUUUAUGGGAUGGUCUUCUCUGGAAAAAUAAGAGAGCCCAUUCAGAGAACGAGUCACCUUAAGGUUCCCAGAAAGAAAGAAUAGAAAGGGGAACAAGGGAGUUUCCGUCGUGGUGCAGCAGAAACGAAUCCAACUAGGAACCAUGAGUUUGCAGGUUCAAUGCCUGGCCUCGCUCAGUGGGUUAAGGACACGGCGUUGCCGUGAGCUGUGGUGUAGGUCGCAGAAGCGGGUCGGAUCUGGCACUGCUGUGGCUGUGGUGUUGGCCGGCACCUACAGCUCUGAUUUGACCUCUGUAUGCCCACUUCCAUAUGCCUGGGAACCUCCAUAUGCCGCCAGUGCGGCCCUAAAAGACAAAAGACAAAAAAAAAGGAAACAAGCAGAGAAGUAUUCCUGCUCAUGUAAAGGUCUUUCCAAAUCCUGUAAAACUGGAUUGUUAUGAUCAUUAUAUAACUACAGAUGUGAUAAAUUCAUUUGAGUAAUAAAAAAUAAAAAUAAAAAAAUAAAGGUAUUUCCAAAAGUCUUUGGACAGCCCUCGACCCAUGUAGGACAGGAGCUGAAGAUGGAGAAUCCAGCUUCCCUGCUCCUGGGGGCAGGAGUGCAAUAGUGCUUUUGGCACAAUCUCCCAGAGGCCCUCGGGGAGA
This 5975-nucleotide long non-coding RNA is filed under the name Sus scrofa (pig). RNAcentral's name for it is "lncRNA (ENSSSCG00035052477.1)". Lineage: Eukaryota; Metazoa; Chordata; Mammalia; Artiodactyla; Suidae. The record is from RNAcentral.